GAUGAACGCUGGCGGCGUGCCUAAUACAUGCAAGUCGAGCGAACGGACGAGAAUUUUGCUGCUCUGUUGUUAGCGGCGGGCGGGUGUGACACACGUGUAAACCCUCCCUAUAUGAGUGGUAUAAUUUCGGGAAACGGGAUCAAACACGGUAGAAUAUUUUGAUCCGCGGGGUUCAAAGGUGAAAUACGGUCUUUCGGUCACUUCUAGAUGGAUCCGCGCUGCAUUAGCUAGUUGUUAAGUUAAAAGCUUACCAAGGCAACGAGGCAUAAACGAGCUGAGGGGGUGGUAGGCCACACUGGAAGUGGACCACGGUCCUGACUCCUACGGGAGGCCGCAGUAGGGAAUCUUCCGCAGUGGGCGAAAGCCUGACGGAGCAACGCCGAGUGAGUGAUGACGGUCUUCGGAUCGUAAAACUCUGUUAUUAGGGAAGAACAUAUGUGUAAGUAACUGUGCACAUCUUGACGGUACCUAAUCAGAAAGCCACGGCUAACUACGUG
This 497-nucleotide ribosomal RNA is filed under the name uncultured bacterium. RNAcentral's name for it is "partial 16S ribosomal RNA". It matches the Rfam family "Bacterial small subunit ribosomal RNA", at positions 28 to 507 of the family's 1533-position model. The record is from RNAcentral.